UCUUCUUCAUCCUCUUCUUCUGACCAUUCUUCUUCAUCGAACAACUCUUCCUCAUUAAUUGAUGCAUUUGCCCCUUCAUCGGUUAUUUGUUCUAUAUCAACCUCUUCUAAUAUGUGUUCAGGAUGCUCUAAAUCAUUUUCUAAUUCAACAUCCACGGUAUGGUGAACACUUGAUACAUCAUCAUCCUGGUACGCAACAUCCAACACGUUUUCAACUUCCACACGACCCAUGGGUUUGGUUUUAAUCACCACCCACCAAUCUAAUUUAUCUGGACGCAAGGGAUAAGGAGCAUAGUACACUUGCUUAACAUUUUGUGCAAUAAUGAAAGGAUCAUAUGCUUCAU
Molecule: long non-coding RNA, 343 nt
Filed under: Solanum tuberosum (potato)
Lineage: Eukaryota; Viridiplantae; Streptophyta; Magnoliopsida; Solanales; Solanaceae
Description: long non-coding RNA (STUB_LNC011937)
Source: RNAcentral